Triticum aestivum (bread wheat) is the source of this 1764-nucleotide long non-coding RNA. RefSeq lists it as uncharacterized. NCBI's taxonomy places the organism in Eukaryota, Viridiplantae, Streptophyta, Magnoliopsida, Poales, Poaceae. The record is from RefSeq and is a predicted model, not a curated record. The transcript is spliced from 3 exons.
GGCUUGAGCACCACCAGUUCUUUCCCAAAUCUUGCAAAACCUAACCCUCAACCCCAACCACGCCACCGUCGCCACCAACCACUCGACCGCAGCGCCGGCUUCCUCCCCAAACACAGUCGCCGCCGUCCGCCUAGUCAUCGCCGAGCACCCUUCACCGCCUCGUCCCCAUCCCCCACGCACCCAGCGCCCACAUCCUCCCGAGGAAUGCCGCCGACCGCCCUCCAUCCCCACCACAACAGCGACCUCCUCCACAGGUUUCCUCCCUCGAGCAGGCCUCCUCCUCCUUUAGCUUUCUCCCCCGAGCAGGGCCUCCUCCUCCACGAGCAUCCUUACCCGAGCACUAAGUUGGGCUGCCUCCUGGUUCCCUCAUCCGAGCAGCGGACCUUCCUAUACGGCCCCUCUCCCAAGAAGCUCCACCUCCUCUACAUCCUCCCCCAGGUGCAACGCCACCUCCUUGCUCACCGAGAGCACUUGGCUAGUGAGAUUUCAAUCUUUGCAAACUUUGUUCCUUUUUUCUUCUGAGCACUAACUAGAACAACUUCAGAAAGUGUUUGAGUUUGUAUGUCACUAUGUUCUGAAGAUAACGACCAGCUUUGUCAUCCGAUAGCCCAAGUUUUUCUUAUGGUGAAGUGAUCUUCCAUUGCAGCAAAUGGAUGCUCCAACUACGUAAUAAAUCAGUGAAACCCGCUGAGAAUGACUUAUAAGUUCAUGGCAAAAGCAGCAACAUCAGUACGUAACCACAAGCAAGCUAAGGGGGUAAUAAUCUUGGUAUUUAAGUCUUAGAUUCAGUAUUUUGCUUUUUGGAUACAUGAACAUUGAAACUUAUUUAGCAUUUCGUUUCUUAUAUGCUUCAUGCAAAUAAAACUGCAGUAAAAUAUGAGCCGAGAUUUUGCUUGGCAUGUGUAUGUAUGCAUGCCCUGAAUUUGCUUAGUAUUUUUAUGCAUACAACUAUUGGAAGCUUUUACAUGUCCUGGAACUGAGCUUUUGCAUGCCCUGUGUUUUCUGAAGCUGAGUCUUUUGUUAUUGGCUAGUACUUGAAACGGAGUCGCAGGCCUCCUACCAUAUAACCAUUUAUGAAGUGCAUAUGUGAUGCCUUAUCUUGUAUUCCUACAAAGAGUCCAGUAUAUUUUUCAUGUGUAAAAAGUGGCUGACCUGGCAUUACACUGUUAAGUAUUUUGUACACAUCAGGAAUCUUGUUGUAGAUACACACUGAGCUGAAAAUGUUGCUAGCAGAAAUAGGUUUUCUGUUAGCUACGCAUCUGGUUUAAAACAUGGUAUGACUACUUGCUUUGGAAUAGUAACACCUUGAUAUUAUCUGAUCCUAUCUCAUGCAUAUUUUAGUUAUUUCUAGACAAAGCUUUAGGAACCGAGUUCACUACAACUCGAAGUCUUGUGCAUGGAGGAGAAUUGAGAUAUUUGCGCAUUCUGUACUAGUCAAAAGGUUGGCAUCAUGGUUGGAAGAUCUUGUGUGCUACUCUCUACACGAUAUUUCUUCUACAUGAUAGCACUUGACGUCUACAUGAUAGCACUUGAAGUCUACAUGAUGUUUCUUGUAUUCAUAGCUCAAACCAUUUGUUUAGCUUAGUUUGAACAAAAAAUAUUAUUGUCUUACAUGUAAAUAAUGUUUACUAAUGUAGCUGGAUGCUACUGAACGCAUGUACGAAAGUCAAAAUACUAAGUGUUAGUCAUUAUGUGUUUGAGAACUGCCAUUGAAUCUUGAGUGAAUUCCUGUAUGAAUAGAAAUCAAAAGAAAUAUAAAUGCUA